CUGCUCAGUAAUACUCACUUUAUUUUAUGUGCACCGCAGAUAACUACGUUAAAGUGUAGAUAACAUGUGUACAGUAAGAGUGAGACCUAUCAGCUAGUUGUUAGGGUAAUGGCUUAACAAGGCAGUGACGGGUAACGGUAUUACUUUGUAAUAUUCCGGAGAAGGAGCCUGAGAGACGGCUACUAAGUCUAAGGAUUGCAGCAGGGGCGAAACUUGACCUAUGGAUUUUAUCUGAGGCAGUUAUGGGAAGUAAUAUAUUAUUGUUUCAUAUUUUAAAAAUAU
Molecule: ribosomal RNA, 282 nt
Filed under: Vairimorpha bombi
Lineage: Eukaryota; Fungi; Microsporidia; Nosematidae
Description: Nosema bombi partial small subunit ribosomal RNA
Rfam family: Microsporidia small subunit ribosomal RNA
Source: RNAcentral